UGGGAUGUAGCUUAGUGGUAGAGUGCUUGCCUAGCAUGCUUGAGGCACUGGGUUCGAUCCUCAGCACCACAU
Molecule: transfer RNA, 72 nt
Filed under: Ictidomys tridecemlineatus (thirteen-lined ground squirrel)
Lineage: Eukaryota; Metazoa; Chordata; Mammalia; Rodentia; Sciuridae
Description: Spermophilus tridecemlineatus (thirteen-lined ground squirrel) tRNA
Rfam family: tRNA
About the family: Transfer RNA (tRNA) molecules are approximately 80 nucleotides in length. Their secondary structure includes four short double-helical elements and three loops (D, anti-codon, and T loops).
Source: Rfam by way of RNAcentral